Molecule: ribosomal RNA, 484 nt
Filed under: uncultured bacterium
Lineage: Bacteria
Description: partial 16S ribosomal RNA
Rfam family: Bacterial small subunit ribosomal RNA
Source: RNAcentral
AUUGAACGCUGGCGGCAGGCCUAACACAUGCAAGUCGAGCGGAUGAAGGGAGCUUGCUCCUGGAUUCAGCGGCGGACGGGUGAGUAAUGCCUAGGAAUCUGCCUGGUAGUGGGGGAUAACGUCCGGAAACGGGCGCUAAUACCGCAUACGGCCUGAGGGAGAGAGUGGGGGAUCUUAGGACCUCACGCUAUCAGAUGAGCCUAGGUCGGAUUAGCUAGUUGGUGGGGUAAAGGCCUACCAAGGCGACGAUCCGUAACUGGUCUGAGAGGAUGAUCAGUCACACUGGAACGUAGACACGGUCCAGACUCCUGCGGGAGGCAGCAGUGGGGAAUGUUGGACAAGUGGCGAAAGCCUGAUCCAGCCAUGCUGCGUGUGUGAAGAAGGUCUUCGGAUUGUAAAGCACUUUAGGUUGGGAGGAAGGGCAGUAAGUUAAUACCUUGCUGUUUUGACGUUACCAACAGAAUAAGCACCGGCUAACUUCGUG